RNAcentral lists this ribosomal RNA (449 nucleotides) under uncultured bacterium. RNAcentral describes it as "partial 16S ribosomal RNA". It matches the Rfam family "Bacterial small subunit ribosomal RNA", at positions 29 to 523 of the family's 1533-position model. The record is from RNAcentral.
AACGAACGCUGGCGGCAUGCCUAACACAUGCAAGUCGAACGAGAUCUUCGGGUCUAGUGGCGCACGGGUGCGUAACGCGUGGGAAUCUGCCCUUUGGUUCGGAAUAACAGUUGGAAACGACUGCUAAUACCGGAUGAUGACGAAAGUCCAAAGAUUUAUCGCCAGAGGAUGAGCCCGCGUAGGAUUAGCUAGUUGGUGUGGUAAAGGCGCACCAAGGCGACGAUCCUUAGCUGGUCUGAGAGGAUGAUCAGCCACACUGGGACUGAGACACGGCCCAGACUCAUGCGGGAGGCAGCAGUGGGGAAUAUUGGACAGUGGGCGAAAGCCUGAGCCAGCAAUGCCGCGUAAGUGAUGAAGGCCUGAGGGUUGUAAAGCUCUUUUACCCGGGAUGAUAAUGACAGUACCGGGAGAAUAAGCUCCGGCUAACGCCGUGCCAGCCGCCGCCGUAA